UGCCCUUGACAUUGACAGAAUCCCGUAGAGAUAUGGGAGUGCUUCGGCCUGGAAAACAGGUGCUGCAUGGCUGUCGUCAGCUCGUGUCGCGAGAUGUUGGGUUAAGUCCCGCAACGAGCGCAACCCUUAUCCUUAGUUGCCAGCACGUAAUGGUGGGAACUCUAGGGAGACUGCCGGUGACAAACCGGAGGAAGGUGGGGACGACGUCAAGUCAUCAUAGCCCUUAUGGGCUGGGCUACACACGUGCUACAAUGGGCUGUACAGAGGGUCGCGAACCCGCGAGGGGGAGCCAAUCCCACAAAGCAGCUCUUAGUCCGGAUUGCAGUCUGCAACUCGACUGCAUGAAGUUGGAAUCGCUA
This 359-nucleotide ribosomal RNA is filed under the name uncultured bacterium. Its description in RNAcentral is "bacterial SSU rRNA". It matches the Rfam family "Bacterial small subunit ribosomal RNA", at positions 976 to 1337 of the family's 1533-position model. The record is from RNAcentral.